Carcharodon carcharias (great white shark) is the source of this 656-nucleotide long non-coding RNA. RefSeq lists it as uncharacterized. Lineage: Eukaryota; Metazoa; Chordata; Chondrichthyes; Lamniformes; Lamnidae. The record is from RefSeq and is a predicted model, not a curated record. The transcript has 3 exons.
AGUCCUGGACCUUGCAGUAUUCGUUCAAGAACAAGUAUUUUCACUGGAGGACCAGCAGGUUUCAGGCAGAGCAAAGAGCGUCUUUCAUCGAGUUGGUGAUUCUCCAGCUGCAGCUGUUGUUUGUCUCAGUGUGAUUCCCUGGGAAAAGCGCAUGGAGCACAGUGUCCUGUGCGACAGAACUGCUCGGGAUGAACCCCAGCAAAAAACACCGCAACUCUCUCCAGAACUUUGCAAAGGCAGAUUCCACAAGGAGGUGAACGACAUUGUCUUACGAUUCGAUGCAAAAAGCACCACACGGCGGAAGCACAGAGGAUGCUGAAGAUCCUGUUGCGGUCGAUGAUGCAGGGACAGUGGAUUCUCUAGUCAAGUGUUCCUUAGGUUCCGGAGUUGGUGUUGUCUCUGGAUCAAUAAUGAGCUCCUGGCUACAAAUAGCUGCAAAUCGAUCAAAGGUGAAAGUGACAGUGAACCAGACUGAACGGUCAGUGGCUGCAUAAAUCAGGACAGCAUGGAUAUUACACAGGGGGAUAGAGUCGACGAAAAUAAACUGAUCCAGGUAAACAAUCGGAAUGUGUUUCAUUGUUAGGUCAAGGAUAAUGACCAGUAGAUCUGGCGCUGCCAUGUCCACCAGGUAAUGAGUGACACAUUUGGAGAGACCA